GAUGAACGCUAGCUACAGGCUUAACACAUGCAAGUCGAGGGGAAACGGCAUUGAGUGCUUGCACUCUUUGGACGUCGACCGGCGCACGGGUGAGUAACGCGUAUCCAACCUUCCCAUUACUGUGGGAUAACCUGCCGAAAGGCAGACUAAUACCGCAUAGUCUUCGAUGACGGCAUCAGAUUUGAAGUAAAGAUUUAUCGGUAAUGGAUGGGGAUGCGUCUGAUUAGCUUGUUGGCGGGGUAACGGCCCACCAAGGCUACGAUCAGUAGGGGUUCUGAGAGGAAGGUCCCCCACAUUGGAACUGAGACACGGUCCAAACUCCUACGGGAGGCAGCAGUGAGGAAUAGUGGUCAAUGGACGGAAGUCUGAACCAGCCAAGUAGCGUGCAGGAUGACGGCCCUAUGGGUUGUAAACUGCUUUUGUAUGGGGAUAAAGUUAGGGACGUGUCCCUAUUUGCAGGUACCAUAAGAAUAAGGACCGGCUAAUUCCGUG
This 492-nucleotide ribosomal RNA is filed under the name uncultured bacterium. RNAcentral's name for it is "partial 16S ribosomal RNA". It matches the Rfam family "Bacterial small subunit ribosomal RNA", at positions 28 to 507 of the family's 1533-position model. The record is from RNAcentral.